This 1058-nucleotide small RNA is filed under the name Pongo abelii (Sumatran orangutan). RNAcentral describes it as "retained intron". The record is from RNAcentral. Lineage: Eukaryota; Metazoa; Chordata; Mammalia; Primates; Hominidae.
ACAAAUGCAGAGCGCACGCGUUUGGCUGGCUGGCGACUGCACAAGCAGGGAUGGCGCCGCCUCAGCGUUCUCGGGUGCUACGCUGCUGCAGCUGCCGCCUCUUCCAGGCGCACCAGGUAAAAAAGAGUGUCAAGUGGACAUGCAAAGCUUGUGGAGAGAAGCAGUCCUUUUUGCGGGAAAAAUCGCAGCCCUCAGAGAGUCGCUGGCUGAAGUAUCUAGAAAAGGACUCCCAAGAACUGGAGCUGGAAGGAAGAGGAGUGUGUUUCAGCAAACAGCCUUCAUCCAAAAUGGAGGAGCCAGGCCCCCACUUCAGUCAAGACCUGCCUAGAGAAAGGAAGUGGAGCCAGAGCACCGUCCAGCCUCCAUGCAGCCUUGGUGUCCAGGACUCAGGUGGCUCUGAGGUCACCUGGGAACCCCAGAAGGUCAGUGACAGAGAACAGUUUCUCUCUGGUCCCAGUGACCACUGAGUAUGUGUGGGAUAAUUUUGUCUUUUGUCACAGUUGACGAAGUGUGCGAUUCCUACCCGCAGAAAGCCCAUCUUCCCAGCUGGGUUUCUUGUCUUUUCUGUCUGAAGCCAGCUCCUUCCUCGGGUCUGUACCCCCUUUUUCCCUCCCAUGCCUCUCGUCUCCCAUGAGGGUAACUCAGGACCAAAGAGCAUUGUGACCGUUGGAGCAACUGAGGUUGGCCAGCAGGUCAACCUGACGAUGGGUCAGGGCCAUCAUCUCAUUCUGCGUGGAGCACGGGGACCUUUGUCCAGGCAGGAGUUGUCAGUGGGCCGCCCUGAAUCCUGGGAGAUGCUUCCUUCCACACUCACAUUUGUCCAGCUGUGGACUCUUGUAUGUGAGGCACUCUUCACUUAGAGUGUUGUCUUGUUCUUCUUUGUUUUCUGAGACAGGGUCUCACUCUGUCUACCCAGGGUGGAGUGCAGUGGCACAGUCAUAGCCUACUGAAGCUUCAACCUCCCAGGCUCAAGUGAUCCUCCUGCCUCAGCCCCCAAGUAGCUGGGACUACAGAUGCACACCACCACACUGGCUAAUCUUUAAAAAAUAUUUUGUAGA